CAGCAGAGGGGCUACCAUCCCACGUCUGGAGAAAUCUCACUCACCCACUCACUGCUCUGGAGGCUGAGACGGUCAGUCUGGAUGAACCGCCUUGAAUGUUGAGCCAUCUGCAGUCAGGAUCACGACCUUCUGUAGGCUGGCCCAGAAAUCUUUGUAGCUGAGGAUGACUCCACACUUACGAUCCUCCUUCAUCCACCUUCCAAACUGAGUCCUGAUAUGUUGCCCAGGAUGCCUUUCAACUGGAGAUUCUCCUACCUCUACCACCCGGUGCCGGGAUUACAGGAAUGUGGUUCCCGGUCCCGGGCACAGCUGGCAGGACACGGCUCUCCUUCAUACUGCUGUGAGAGCAUUGGAUCAAGACGAGACACGAAGCAGUGGAUGAAGGAUGUCUGUCUGCUGCAGCUCUGAGCCUUGAUCACUCGGCGGAGCUGAGGGAGGCGGGACUGGGACGGUACUGCCAGGUGUUUCACAGUUUUCAACAGGGAGGCUGUCACUCAGGCCGGCGUAGCUACGGAACACAUUAGAGAAGAAGGGCAGAAGCCAGCCUCCCGAUGACACCCAGCCCAGGACAGCUGCGCCAUCACCUUUCCAUCACCUGUCUCAGUCAGCCCCGGCCCUGUUAGCUGUUCUUUAUUGUCCUGGCUGGCAUGAUGCCCCCGGAGCCUUCACACACUGCAUUUCCAGUGAGGAAACAAGAAAAGGCAUCAGGUCACCGGCAAUUUCUUUUUUCCAGUGGUGAAGGCCAAACCCCAGGACCUGCGCAGGUUGUGCUGGUGCUCUGUCCCUUAGCUCCAGCCUCAACUCAGACACUAGGAAUUUUAGCCAUUGACACUGUGAAUUCCUUUUCCUGGGUCACUAUCCGGCACCAAGAGGGGAUUCUAUGGUCCCCAGUCACAGAUCUGGUGGUUGGUUCCGGUUAAUUUAACAAACAUUCGUGAGUACUGUGCUAAGUGCUGCCAAACCAUCUGUCAGAUGUUAACAGUCACAGACAUCUCCCCCAAACCCUACGGUGUUUAGAAAAUGUGGUACAUA
Peromyscus maniculatus bairdii (prairie deer mouse) is the source of this 1032-nucleotide long non-coding RNA. RefSeq lists it as uncharacterized. The record is from RefSeq and is a predicted model, not a curated record. Lineage: Eukaryota; Metazoa; Chordata; Mammalia; Rodentia; Cricetidae.